Molecule: long non-coding RNA, 4576 nt
Filed under: Gallus gallus (chicken)
Lineage: Eukaryota; Metazoa; Chordata; Aves; Galliformes; Phasianidae
Description: lncRNA (ENSGALG00010008848.1)
Source: RNAcentral
GAGGGAAGGAAGGAGGGAAGGAAGGAAGGAAGGAAGGAAGGAAGGAAGGAAGGAAGGAAGGGAAAAAGAGAAAAAGAAAAAGAAAAAAAGAGAGGAAGAGAGGAAGAGGAAAAGAAAAACACAUUAAUUUAUAGUUCAAGCCACUUUGAAACAGGGUAUGUCUCUACCUUUUUACUUCAUUAUGAGGGAUGAAGAUUAACUAAUCAUUUCUGCAGAAGCCACUGGUUGCCUAGGGUUCCAUAAUCAUGGCCUGGUUAUAUUCAGUACACACAACAAAGAGACAGUUACAGCUAACAUGUAGCUAAUUGAGCAAGGAUGAGAGAGUAGGAAAAAAAAAUGAUUCAAAGGGCAAAAAUGUGAUAUGUUUUACAAAAUAAACCACUAAAUAAUUUUUUCUAUAAGAAAAAGAUAAAAUGCCAUCUGCAGUCAAGAUAAUAAAACAUUGUUAAAAUCUCUUUGUCUAGGUAAAGGCAAGUAUUAAACAGUGAAAAGGAAUACGUAACAAACAAGGAAAAGAGAGCAACUGAUAACAGUUAACACAGAACAGAAAUUAUAGAGUGUAGAAAAUCACUUGGAAAAAUCAAAACCAUUACAGAAAAAUCCAUGUCUGGAAUGGAUGGAACACACAAUUUUACAGGAUAGGAGCAAGACUCCAGAGCAAAGCUGUUCCUGACCCUAGGCAUCCCUACACCAGCAAGACCUUGUGCCCUGUGUCAGAUCUUCUGGGAGAGCCGGACUGCAUGGACUCAGGGCUGCAGCCUUUAAGAGGAAGAAGAUGGAUGACAGACUUCUCCCUGCUACCCCACCAGAGGCCAUGCAAGUGGAAAGAACCUUCCCCUAGCCCCAGGCUGACAGAGCUAUCAGAGGGAAUCUUUGCAAAUUCAGCACAUACCAAACAAUGGGGAUUUUCCUCUGUGUGAUGAGACAUACUCCUGAUCACAGCCCUGGCAAGUCAGUUCCAUUCUGCUGCUUUCAUUCUGGCCAGCUGGUAUCAGCCUCCUGCAUCUCCAAGUCUUAUGAGUUUGACCCUUUUCCUGUGGAAUUAGGUAUGACAAAAAUACCUGUCAUUGUGAAGGACAACAGAAUAUAACUUGUUUUUGCGAGAAAUACCAGGGUCACUCUAAGCUCAGAAAUACUGUGGCAGCUCCAGUAAAACCAGCAAAGUAAAUAUAGACACAAGAUAAACUAUCUGGUCUUCCCUUUGCCUGUGACCUCUAUUACUUUCCCUGUUUCUCUGACUAUAACCUCAGUAAGUGUAUUUUUGAUCCUUCAGUUAAUAUGAUUAUCAGGCUUCACACUGCCACUGCUCUCAAAUUUUCCAGAUGGCAUUUCAUCUGGAAAGUUACAACCCUGUUCUGCUUGUUAUUUAUUUAACAACUGUGCUUUUGACUAAUACAGAAUACUCUCAGUAACAGAUCUAUAUUAAUCAAAGUUCAGAUAUUCAGUGUUAGCAAUUUAUUUUGAUUUUGUCACCAUUUACACAAAGUUAUUUACCUACGCCUCUAGCAUUUUUCAAAGGACUCUGUUGCUUUAAUACACACUUACUAAAAUACAAACUGUACUUAAAGCCAUUCUCUGGAGGAGUCCCCGUCCUGAAUGAAGUUCUGUGGCACAACUGAACUACAUGAAAUGACAGUGGCAGUCUCCUAAGGGUGAAUUUACCUCUGUGUUAAUGAAUGAAUGGAAUAGACAUACGGAGUCUCAGUGAGAUAGUCCUUAUGCUCCCUCAGGGAAGUUGAGGUGCUACGUUGAUAAUUGAACACUGGUAAAAGACAGAGUUAGAUUAUUUUUCUUAAACCCACGAUUUUGCAGUAGGGAUUCAGUCCAUCUUCCAGUGGAAUGUCUGAAAAAGUUUCAUAGACACCAGAACUGAUAUUGCCUGUCACUAUACAAACCGAAAACCGCUUCGUCACUCUAUAAAUGGAAGCUCCAGCCACACUAUAGCAAGCACCAAUGCAAGUGAAUUUAUGCACAAAUGUAACUACCAGAUUUAAGCUAAAUUUUGAGAGACCAGAUCAAGAAGGGUGCAAGCUCCAAAGGCAACAACUUGAAACUCUAACUUAGCUCUAACCCCUUUCUUCACCUUCUUUUCUCUGCGUAGUGUCAUUUUUAACAAAAUGUGCCAAAUUACAAGUCAUAAAAGCUCAAGUAUGUAAGCUGCAAAUCUGGUGCUUUCCACAAGGCCAGAAGUGUCAUGAAAGAAAAACGCCAUCCAUAAUAUGGGACUGUUUGGAAUCAGAUUAGAGAGACCUAGAAUUCGUCAGCAACUUCUGCCCAUAAGGUCAAAUUAUGAAGUCUGUACUUACUACAUAUAAACACACUCCAUUUCCAGAUUCUGCCCCCCACAGACACAGCAUAAUCUAUGACGUCCAUCAGUCAUCAGCUAGUUUAUAUCAGACUCCUACUAUACCUACAUAAAUAUGUUGAAUAUUUGGAAUAAUACAUUCACAAAGCAAUGAUCAUAUUUAUUUAUAUUUUACAAAGAGAAAAAAAAAUGUGAGAGAGUAAAGAUAGGCUGCCUUCAUAGCCAUUACAGGGAAAGUGUGGAGAAAUCACCAGAAACCCCCACCAGGGGAGAGAUAUGGAGCUUUUGGAAAGAGUCCAGAAGAAGGCCAUGAAGAUGAUCCAAGGGCUCCGGCAUGAAGAUCUAUGAAGAUAGGCUGAAGAGACUGAGCUUGUUCAGCCUGGAAAAGAGGAGGCUAUGGGAAAACCUCAUUGCAGCCUUCCCAUAUUUAAAGGGAGAUUGAAACAGGAGGAAAAACUACUUUUUACACAAGUAGUUUGUUAUAGAAUGAAGGGGAAUGGUUUUAAACUAAAGGAAGAGAGGCUUACAGUGGAUGUCAGGGAGAAGUUUUUACUGGGAGAGUGGUGAGGUGCUGGGACAGGCUUCCCAGAGAGGUUGUGGAUGCCCCAUUGCUGGAGGUAUUUAAGGCCAGGUUGGAUGGGGCCCUGGGCAAUCUGAUCUCAUGCUUAAUUUAGCAGCUGGCAACCCUGCCUGUAGCAGUGGGGUUGGAACUUGAUGAUCCUUGAGGUCCCUUCCAACCUAGGCCAUUCUAUGAUUCUAAACAUGAAGAGAGCUAAAUAUUCUCUAGAUAAAAGAAAGGCAGAGAAGGAAUGACUAUCUGAAGGGCAGUCCCAUGUGCAGAAGCUGGGAAUGGAUACCCACAGGGCCCAGACAUGGGGUCACCAACCUCAAGGUUGCUGCCAUGUCAGGACCUGCGUGGGCAGCUGGCCAAUGCGAUACAGGAGGUUCCUCCACUUCCUUUCUUUGGUCACCAACCUGCCAUGAGGUUUGAAUGGCUUCUGUCUAUCUCUAAUGGGGACCUGGAGGAAAGACAUUCAUCCUAUCACAAGCCUCCUGAGCCAUCUCAACUCCAACACAGCAGUUUUUUAAAAAUUCUUAAGCUUACUUCACACAGAUAUAAAUAAUUAUACAGACAAUACAAGUCAAAGAAGAGUCAGGCACUAAAUACUGAUAGAAAGCCUUAUUCCUCCUUUCUUCAGUGAAAACUCUAGAUCUCUGUUCUGCAUUAUUCAUUCAGUAAUCCACCUCUGUGAUACACAUGUAAGAGCUGUUUCAACAAUUUAUGAGCUUUAGUGAUGGCUGAAUAAUCACAUUUUAUAGUCUGAUACAGAUAUCAGAAACACCUGAUACAGAUACAAAAAAGAUUGUGGUAGGUUAUUUCAUGAAAGGCUAAUGCAUCAAAAAGUCCAAGUUGGAAGGCAUUGGAAGGACUUAAGGGAAAUUCUUUCUGCUCUUACAUUAUCUAUCAUUACAUCAGUAACACAGUCCUUGAGGUUUGCAAUUGCCCAGCUCCAGACACUUUAAUAAAGAAAUACAUAAAAUCAAUGCAACUCAUUUUCUCCCAUCUUCAUUUAAAAAUAAAAAAUUGAAAUCUCUGUUCCAGAAACAAAUAAAUAAAUAAAUCUGCUAAUGCAGAAUAUGAAUUACAGAGCAACUUUUAAAAAACUGUACAUGAAAAGUCAAGGUCAUUUUGUAUAAUCACACAAAUGAACAAAUAGCUGUGGUAAACUGAAAUUCCUGGAAAUCAUGUAAAUAACCGGCCAUAAUCAGAGGCUGCAGAGCAAUUAUUAAUCUACUGAUGCUGACCUACCAGACACCCUAAGUUCACCAGACUAUUUUUAACCUAUUUUAGUUACAGAAUGUAUCUAGAACUAUCCUUUGCUUCUUACAUUUCUUUCUGUAAAUUGCAUAGGCAAUAUCCAUUGUAUAUCCUGUAGUACAAAUCAAAUUAUUAUCCUAACAAGCUCUUCUGGGAAAUAUAAAAAUUCUGAAGCUAAAAAUCUGUAUGAAAGUAGAUACUUCCAUUGCUUUAUCAUUAAUCAAAAGAUAUACUAAUGUUCUAAUGGCACAACUAUUUAAACAUUCAAAAGUACAAAAAUGUACUUGCUUAAAAUAUCUGAUAAGAAAACAUCCUUAAAAGUGAUCACAGCUAAAAUUGCUUUUCUAGAUACAAAUGGAACACACUUUACAUCAGACUAAACACUCAGAAGACAGGUAGUGAAUUGGAGACUACGUAGAUGCUUAGCCAGGCCUGUGUCAAUCUCCAUCCAU